RNAcentral lists this ribosomal RNA (253 nucleotides) under uncultured bacterium. RNAcentral describes it as "partial 16S ribosomal RNA". It matches the Rfam family "Bacterial small subunit ribosomal RNA", at positions 524 to 776 of the family's 1533-position model. The record is from RNAcentral.
GACAGAGGGUGCAAACGUUGUUCGGAAUUACUGGGCAUAAAGGGCACGUAGGUGGUUCGCUAAGUUACGUGUGAAAUCCCCCGGCUCAACCGGGGAAUUGCGCGUGAUACUGGCGGACUCGAGGCGGGUAGGGGUGAGCGGAACUCCAGGUGGAGCGGUGAAAUGCGUAGAUAUCUGGAGGAACACCGGUGGCGAAGGCGGCAUCCUGGACCGGUAUUGACGCUGAGGCGCGAAAGCCAGGGGAGCAAACGGG